Molecule: small nucleolar RNA, 72 nt
Organism: Cyprinus carpio carpio
Lineage: Eukaryota; Metazoa; Chordata; Actinopteri; Cypriniformes; Cyprinidae
Source: Ensembl
GAUGCAAAUGAUGGGAAUUGCGAUCAAAGCAUGAAAUUAUCUGAUUACAAUUUUUUUAAACACUGAUGCAUC